AAAUGGCACAAAGUCAAAUGGAGGGGACAAGGCUGGUGUGAGCGCGACAUGUACUAGGAAAGGAUGAGCGGCUUCAACAUAGCGAUUUCUGUUUGUCAACAGAAAAUCAUACUUUCUUCUCUACAUGUCACUACCACUGACAGUUGGAUAUUGAAGGUCCAACUUUCCAAGGAAUCCGGCCCCCCUCCUUCUGGAAGAAAGCCGGUCCCCAAGGCUGCCUGGCUCGCCUCAUUGGCCCGAGCGAGGGAACAGGAGCCAACAAUCACCCUA
This is a long non-coding RNA of Perognathus longimembris pacificus (Pacific pocket mouse), 270 nucleotides long. RefSeq lists it as uncharacterized. NCBI's taxonomy places the organism in Eukaryota, Metazoa, Chordata, Mammalia, Rodentia, Heteromyidae. The transcript has 3 exons. The record is from RefSeq and is a predicted model, not a curated record.